Rhinichthys klamathensis goyatoka is the source of this 706-nucleotide long non-coding RNA. RefSeq lists it as uncharacterized. Lineage: Eukaryota; Metazoa; Chordata; Actinopteri; Cypriniformes; Leuciscidae. The record is from RefSeq and is a predicted model, not a curated record. The transcript is spliced from 2 exons.
CUUUUUUUUUUUGCACCAAAAGCAGUGAAGAUUGUGUUAUGAUUGAAGAGUCAAUUAAUGCAGUCUGACUGAAAAUUCAGAGGUUUGACAGUGAUACAAUGACACCAUCUGCUUGCAGAAGUGCACUUGCACUCUCUUAUUCUCUGCCAUUAUGGUAACGCUACACACUUGGCAAGUCGACUGAGGGAUUUGUUCUGGAAACCAAAGAUAAUUGCAGGGCUGUAGACAACAGCUUCCAACUGACAGACGUUUGUCAAUGUAACUGUGCUUUCUCUAGGUCACUGCCAACAUUGCUCGAGAUGUGUUUCCACCCACAGUGUUUGAGCUGUCUUACUUGUAUGUGAUAAUGUUCUUCUAUUGGGAGGUGUCAGUGAAAAAGCAUAGUGUAAAAGUGUACCAGAAUUAGCGGUGUUUGGAAUCCAUGAAAUAUAUUACUUCUCUCUAUUUUCCUUCCCCAGCAGUGUUGCACUUCUCACUUCUAUGGAUCCCACAGCCCUUCAAUAGAGCUGAUCUCGACAGAACAUCACUGCAGGGCACAGAUGACCACUGCGUAUCCAUCUUGUCUAAAUGAAAGCUGAACAGUAUCUUAUGAGGCUGACCUCACUCCUGGAUUGGUUCAUUCAGACCACCGUAGAAGGUCCAAGAAGAUACAUUUCUUAAGCUGUAUCACAUCUAAAAAUCCAGUUUGAAUUCUUCAGAGAUAUGG